RNAcentral lists this ribosomal RNA (400 nucleotides) under uncultured bacterium. Its description in RNAcentral is "bacterial SSU rRNA". It matches the Rfam family "Bacterial small subunit ribosomal RNA", at positions 355 to 748 of the family's 1533-position model. The record is from RNAcentral.
UGGGGAAUAUUGGGCAAUGGGGGCAACCCUGACCCAGCCAUGCCGCGUGAGUGAUGAAGGCCCUCGGGUCGUAAAGCUCUGUGGGGAGAGACGAAGAAGGUAAACCUAAUACGUUUAUCGGUGACGGUAUCUCCUUAGCAAGCACCGGCUAACUCCGUGCCAGCAGCCGCGGUAAUACGGAGGGUGCAAACGUUGCUCGGAAUUACUGGGCGUAAAGCGAGCGUAGGCGGCGACGUAAGUCGGGUGUGAAAGCCCUCGGCUCAACCGAGGAAGUGCAUUCGAAACUGCGUUGCUAGAGUACCGGAGGGGAUGACGGAAUUCCCGGUGUAGAGGUGAAAUUCGUAGAUAUCGGGAGGAACACCUGUGGCGAAGGCGGUCAUCUGGACGGAUACUGACGCUG